Nicotiana attenuata is the source of this 2095-nucleotide long non-coding RNA. RefSeq lists it as uncharacterized. NCBI's taxonomy places the organism in Eukaryota, Viridiplantae, Streptophyta, Magnoliopsida, Solanales, Solanaceae. The record is from RefSeq and is a predicted model, not a curated record. The transcript is spliced from 4 exons.
CUCUCUGUAUUCUCCAAAAACAAGCGCGCACAGAUUUGCCCUAAUACUCCGCCUAGCUCUAGAGCCCACAUCGCUUAUCUGCCUUUUCUCAAAACUCAGAUUGUGAAUUUCUGCCCUAAUAUCCAUCUCGCCUUUUGAGAUUAAUCCAAGAUUAUUGCAGGAUAAAUUUGAGAGUAUUGACAUGAAUGAUCAUCGUGAUCAUAUUUUCGGAUGGAUGAAAGAGUUAUGAAAAAUGGAGAGGACACUUGCAUGCAAAAUAUGUGAAGGAUAAGCCAAUCCAACAGGCUCUUAAGAAUAUUCCAAAGGGAGCAGACAAGAAAGAAUGGGAGUGGUUAAUAAAGAAAUAUUUUUCUUCAGAAAGUUUUUAGAAAAGAUGGCAAUCCACCAGAUUUGGCAACAAUUUUCUUCGAGACCCGUAAGAAAGAUAACAAGCUUGUUGAACCUGAAGCAAUUGAAAAACAUGCUCAAAUCGAAGAAAUAAUUCAAUUAGAUCCAUCUCUACCUAGCAUAGAGAUUGUAGAAAAAUGUUGUGGACCUCAAACUCGUAGCCAUGUGUUUGGCUUUGGGGGUGGAGUAAAGGCGAAAGACUUGAAAGGUGGAACUUCUUCAAAGGCUGAAUUAAUGUCCGCGCUAUGUUCAACUCGAGAAGAGAACAAAUCUUUAAAUGAGGAAAACAAAUCCUUGCAGGAGUGCUUGUCUACCUUAGAUUAUGACAUGAAAGAAAUGAAGAAAAUGAAAGAGUUCUUCGCUGCUCAACAAUCACAUGUCUCGCUUACGACAUCGCCCGUUUCAAUUGAAUGAACACUGUUUUGUCUGCUGGCCAAGUUAGUAACAAUAUACCCAACUUUUUAAUUUAUAUAGUUGAUUUGCAUAUAGCCGAUUUCUAUAUUACAGAUUCUAGCAGUUUACUUUUUAAAUUUUUUUUUGCAAUUCAUCAGUAGUACCUGUGGCAAGAAGAAAUAGCCUACAGAAUAGUGAUUGAAGCUAGAUAUGGAUUGAAUGUACAAUGGUGCAGUACUUAGAUGCUCGCGGAUCUGUUUUGACCAAUUACAUAUUUUGAACAACUAACUUAGCAAGACACUGUGCAUACUAUUUGCUUCUCCUCCUAGACACAAUUACAUCAAUUAGUUGUUGCACUAACAUCAGUGAUACAUGCUUAGCCGUUCCUUUCUACGUUUAAUGACUCAAUGGACCAACCAAAUCCAGUAGCAGUUCCUUUCUACGUUUGAAGCUAUAAACAGAGGUUCUCUAUGAAGGCAUAAGCACGCCAUAAAAAGCAAAUUCAAGAUGAACUUGUCAAGUUCUAACUAAAAUAAAGUUCAAAUUCAUUAGAAGGGACAUACCCACUAUUAACAGAUCUUAUAAGUGCCAACAAAAUAUAUAGACUAACAGACAGCUUCUCAUUGCACAGUAGUUAGUGAUAUUUUGGAACAUGUUCAUCACUGUUUUCGGUUUAAGAUAGGUCAUGCCUAACAGCAUCAAGGAUGCCUACAUCAGUUGGAUCUCUUGGAAAGUUGAUAAAUCCAUGUAAACAGAACUUGCAAAGUGUUUCGUCCACCUGUGAUCUUGUUAAGAGAUAUCUGGUGUUCCUAUAGUUAGGUGAAAGAAAAUUGCAGUUGCUUGAAUUCAGUCCAUUUUCUAAUCCUUCUAUUUAUUCUCCUAUAUCUGAAGCUGUUGGGUUGGAAAAAACUCAUCUUUGUUGAUUGCUUGUCCUUGGGCAUCUUGUUAAUCAUUUAGUUUAAUGAGUUCAAUGAGUGCUUCUGAAAAAUGUAUUUUUCUGAGGAGUACCGUGGGAAAGCUCCACGAGAGUUUGUCAUACUCCUUGGACAUAUCAAGCUUUAUGACAAUAUUCUCCUCUUUAAAUUUACAUAUGUUCUUUUACCAUUGUUAUUUAUCUUCUUUUCAAACUUUUGUACUUACAAAUUUCGAAGAUUGAAGCUACAAGUCAAGAUGAAAGUUUAGAAGAUUCACAAGCUCAUUAAUUAUUUUGUUAGGACUGUUAUUCAAAACUUGAUAUCAUAAUGUAGCUUAGGAUGUUAGCUAAGUUUUUUUGUUAAGGUGUUGAGCAAAUAUAGAAACUAACAUCAUCAUGGGA